Molecule: microRNA, 22 nt
Filed under: Brugia malayi
Lineage: Eukaryota; Metazoa; Nematoda; Chromadorea; Rhabditida; Onchocercidae
Description: bma-miR-9507
Source: miRBase by way of RNAcentral
UAGAAGUGUACUCCACAUCAAA